This is an RNA transcript of Vespa velutina, 1544 nucleotides long. RefSeq lists it as uncharacterized. The record is from RefSeq and is a predicted model, not a curated record. NCBI's taxonomy places the organism in Eukaryota, Metazoa, Arthropoda, Insecta, Hymenoptera, Vespidae. The transcript is spliced from 2 exons.
CUGCUGGGUCGAAGUGUGGAAGGCUAGAAAGGAGUUGGCAUCGGAGACGAAGGGAGACGCCAUGCUAUCUUGCACAUAAUGCCAAUUAAUUAAUGGAUACUACUGUGGUUCGGCUGGAUUAUGUAACUGGUGCCCAGGACGACUGCUAUCGAUCGACGUCUCGGUGCUGCUAGACGGUGAAUGUGUCAAACGAGUUUUCCCGUAUAGCAGUGGAUGGAAAUAUCUGGUCAUAUCCAAGCCAGACAGACAACUCGGACCUAACACUGAUCAGUCGACGGCCUCGUACCAGACUCGUCAAGAUCCAUUUGCGGACUGGGAUGUACAGCUGCAUUACCGUGUCGUGGUGCCAAAUACUAAUGGUAGGGAAGCGAAUAGUGUCGUUACGGAACCUCACACUCACCGCACUCCACCCCUCACAUCUCCCAACCCUAACUCCCAUCUCGCGUAGUCGUGUUUCUCUGCGUUCGGAUGCAUAACACGGCCGACGGUGUAGGAAACCAGACUGAGUGACCUUGAUGGAAAGGCAAGAAAUGCACACUCAAUAUACAUUUGUCGGACCUCAUCGAUCAAAAGUAACAACCGAGAUGAUUUCAAUAAUAAUUCAAUAAGACGAAAUCAUAUUGUAUUGUAGAAAACAUUAGGAAAAAUAACAAUGAGAUCGGGGAUUUCAUUGAUAAUGUUAUAAGAAAUAAAUCAGAUUGAAUGUUGAAAGAAAUAAUACUCAUUGAUGUACCAGCUAUGGUAACUGAAAUUACCAAACCACGGAGUAAGGUCCCAAGUGGUAAGCGAGAUUACGGGAAUGAGAAGAACUCAAAGAGCGAGAAAGAAAAAAAACAAUCCGUAAGAGAGGAAGAAGAAGAAGAAGAAGAAGAAGAAGAAUAAGACUGCGCAGGGUGGAGGGGUGGAAACGUAGGAGGUUAAGACGUUGUCCUGCCAACAGGUGGUAGCAACCUCACACCACAGUCAGCUAUCCUCUUCUACCCAACCCCUUUUUCGCCCUCUGUGGCAGCAACCACGACGAUAACCCGCGGCGACACCCGAUAAAACGGCUCGUAGAAGAGGGUUGGGGGUCUCUGUUACGAUGCGCAUGGGAUAAGUGGGUCGUGCAGCAUUAGACAGAAAGAGAGAAAGAAUGUGCUGCUAGCAGAGAAGAAAAACACUAGAGAGAUUAUCGGCCUUGGCUACUCACUCGCGCACUAUCAAAUAAUCUUUCGUUCCGUUAACGUAUCUUCCGAAAAAAAAAAAAAACACAGACCAAGAGAGAAACUAAAGAAUAUAUGCGAGAUGUUAUCUGCAAGCUUAUCAAAAUAUUUCGAAUGUUAAUCAAAUUUUAUCAAAAAUUUAUAUCGACAAAAUAAACUAAGUAUUAUUAAUCUUUUAUUCUUCAAGAUGACUACCUAGCAUGUCGUUAGUUUUGUAGCAUUCAAAAAUGAGAAUGUGUGGACGAAAACCAGUAUCGGAUUUUCUCCAAUAAAAAAAAAACGAUGUUCACUAUACGCAACAGCAGUUAACAAUAUUAUUUGCUCAAACUUUUUUACGCGGCA